UUGCCUAUAUACGUCACUCCUCCAAUAAAAUGGCCACGCCCUUUACACGUUGUGCAAUAGUUUUUUGUUUUUAGAUUUUUUUCCCAAUGAACCCUUAUUAAGGGAUGUAAGCACAUACCCCCCUUCCCCCCCCUGAUAUGUAAGUACCUGAAAAGGGGGGUUGAAUAAGUAGAAAAAAUUCUCGAGAGAGAAAGCGAGAGAGAGCAUUAUUACCUACCACCCCCCCAAAAAGAAGAGGAAAAAUGAAAGUCUUUUUUGGGGUUCCUGAUGAAUAAAUCGAAAAAAUCAUAGGGGGCUUUUUUGUAGAUCUCAAGGAGCCCUACAAAAUCGAUUCUACGAGUUUUUCGUGUAAGUGGCACGGUUUCGUAGAUAUUUGGCUCGGAAGUUGUCAUAUUAUUUGUAUUGUAUGUAAUUGCUUAGAGAAGGUGCCUUAGAGGGUCCCCAAUGGGGUGCCUGGAAGACUUAGGAGGCUUAUUAGGGCUGGACAAGAAGAAACAGUAUUGAAACAUGUGCCUAUGGAAGAGGAUGUGGGCCACAAAUAACGGGGAGGAGACUUACCCUAGAGGCACCUCUUUGAGUGGAGGAGACAUGGAGGUACCACAGGAGACAAAAGAGCAGAGCAACUGCUCCAGAUCGUAAAGAAAAGUUGUAUAAGAUUAUAAAUAAACUUGUUUAUUCAUUA
This is a long non-coding RNA of Anthonomus grandis grandis, 682 nucleotides long. RefSeq lists it as uncharacterized. The record is from RefSeq and is a predicted model, not a curated record. NCBI's taxonomy places the organism in Eukaryota, Metazoa, Arthropoda, Insecta, Coleoptera, Curculionidae. The transcript has 2 exons.